This 253-nucleotide ribosomal RNA is filed under the name uncultured bacterium. Its description in RNAcentral is "partial 16S ribosomal RNA". It matches the Rfam family "Bacterial small subunit ribosomal RNA", at positions 524 to 776 of the family's 1533-position model. The record is from RNAcentral.
UACGGAGGAGGCAAGCGUUAUCCGGAAUUAUUGGGCGUAAAGCGUCCGUAGGUGGUUGGCCAAGUCUGCUGUCAAAGGGUGGGGCUUAACCUCAUAAAGGCAGUGGAAACUGGCGAGCUAGAGUGCGGUAGGGGUAGGGGGAAUUCCCAGUGUAGCGGUGAAAUGCGUAGAGAUUGGGAAGAACAUCGGUGGCGAAAGCGCCCUGCUGGGCCUGCACUGACGCUGAGGCGCGAAAGCCAGGGGAGCAAACGGG